This 660-nucleotide long non-coding RNA is filed under the name Struthio camelus australis. RNAcentral's name for it is "lncRNA (ENSSCUG00000008014.1)". The record is from RNAcentral. Lineage: Eukaryota; Metazoa; Chordata; Aves; Struthioniformes; Struthionidae.
UGUGAAAUGAUGCCUUGUACAGGCAAUGCUAUCUGCAACUAGAUAUGGGAGUCAUUAAAUCUCCUUUUGGAGAUUUGGAGACAUGGGAGUCAGAAGCUCACAUCCUGCAGUGACUGGCCACAGAGGGGAGACCUGGACCACACAUUCACAGAGGGUGACAUAUAACACGGCCAGAUCUUCCCCGGCAGGCAGACAUUUUUGGCUGGCUGGCAAAAAUGAAAGUCAUAAGUUUUGGGACCAGUGAAGUCGAUACUCCACUGAAAGAAAGUUUCAGAGAACGGGUCUUUCUCAGGGGAAGGGCAGAGAUCCUGGUGCCCUGCAGAGCUGGAGUCCCGGCGGUGGAGGCACCCUGGCUCACCAGUCCCUUUGAUAACCCAGGCAGAAGUUGCAGCUUCUCCAAAAGCAUGCAGACGAGCCCAGCGAGGACGGAGCAGCCCGGCAAAUCGCUGCCUGCAGCAGGGACCGGUCAGGCGGUCUCAGGAACGGAGAACAUGGCUGGCUCAGGACACGGAGCUGCCGGGUUGGAGUUAUGCAGCUGAAGCAUGAAAUGAGCCAAUGCUGAACGCGUGAUGAGAGGAGAAGGGUUUUUUCCUGAGAGUAGACUAUCGGCGGGGUUCAGCCGGGAGUGGAAGGAAUAAAGGAAAGGCUACACAUAAUUCA